CAGAAAUCAGCUCUCCCCAGUUUCUGUCAUUUCAAAGACUCCUGGCACAGUACCAGGUAAUCCCAGGUCAUGUCGACUCUCCUUUCUAUCUAGCUCGUGCAGAGCUCGGAGGAAGUAGACGAAUCAACUGUAACUGCCAGAGGAGGAAGUGGAACAGGCCACGAAAAGAACUCUACCUUCUUGCCCCUCAUUCACUCCUCAGCCCACUGCAACUAGAGCAUGGGUCAUCUCUCCACACCCACUGUUCCAGCAAAGACCAAGGUGAACAAUGACCACACCACUGCCAAUCCAAACACCAUGCAAUGUUUCAGAUCGUGGUUGCUCUGUCCACUUGUGUCCUAAGAAUAACCCCUAAAUGACCAGCAAUGGAAGUUAAAAUGAACAUGAAAGGUGAAUGUUUUGAAUUGAAUCACGAUAUGAAGGCUGCUGGGACAGCACAACUAAAGACACUCCUGAGACUCCGUGAGAAAAGACUUCCAGAACUGCUUCAGAAAGUGCAAUUCAUUGUGUUACGAAAUUAUAAAGAAAGAAAAUUUUCCAGAGAAGAAAAUUCUCCCAGUGCAAGUGGUAUCUGCAAGGUGCUUGGCCUCCCA
This 593-nucleotide long non-coding RNA is filed under the name Heterocephalus glaber (naked mole-rat). RNAcentral describes it as "lncRNA (ENSHGLG00100032798.1)". The record is from RNAcentral. Lineage: Eukaryota; Metazoa; Chordata; Mammalia; Rodentia; Bathyergidae.